This 254-nucleotide ribosomal RNA is filed under the name uncultured bacterium. RNAcentral describes it as "partial 16S ribosomal RNA". It matches the Rfam family "Bacterial small subunit ribosomal RNA", at positions 524 to 776 of the family's 1533-position model. The record is from RNAcentral.
CACGUAGGGUGCGAGCGUUGUCCGGAAUUAUUGGGCGUAAAGAGCUCGUAGGCGGUUUGUCGCGUCUGCUGUGAAAACCCGAGGCUCAACCUCGGGCCUGCAGUGGGUACGGGCAGACUAGAGUGCGGUAGGGGAGAUUGGAAUUCCUGGUGUAGCGGUGGAAUGCGCAGAUAUCAGGAGGAACACCGAUGGCGAAGGCAGAUCUCUGGGCCGUAACUGACGCUGAGGAGCGAAAAGCAUGGGGAGCGAACAGG